This 87-nucleotide transfer RNA is filed under the name Thiobacillus sp. RNAcentral describes it as "tRNA-Leu". It matches the Rfam family "tRNA". From Rfam's summary of the family: Transfer RNA (tRNA) molecules are approximately 80 nucleotides in length. Their secondary structure includes four short double-helical elements and three loops (D, anti-codon, and T loops). RNAcentral also lists the same sequence under 1 other name. The record is from RNAcentral. Lineage: Bacteria; Pseudomonadati; Pseudomonadota; Betaproteobacteria; Nitrosomonadales; Thiobacillaceae.
GCCCGGAUGGUGAAAUUGGUAGACACAAGGGACUUAAAAUCCCUCGGCCGCAAGGCUGUGCGGGUUCGAUUCCCGCUCCGGGCACCA